RNAcentral lists this ribosomal RNA (253 nucleotides) under uncultured bacterium. RNAcentral's name for it is "partial 16S ribosomal RNA". It matches the Rfam family "Bacterial small subunit ribosomal RNA", at positions 524 to 776 of the family's 1533-position model. The record is from RNAcentral.
UACAGAGGGUGCGAGCGUUAAUCGGAAUUACUGGGCGUAAAGCGCACGUAGGUGGUUAUUUAAGUUAGAUGUGAAAUACCAGGGCUUAACCUUGGAUGGUCAUUUAAUACUGGGUAGCUAGAGUACAGUAGAGGGAAGUGGAAUUUCCGGUGUAGCGGUGAAAUGCGUAGAUAUCGGAAGGAACAUCAGUGGCGAAGGCGGCUUUCUGGACUGAUACUGACACUGAGGUGCGAAAGCGUGGGGAGCAAACAGG